UUAAGAUUGAUUCUUCGGAUGACAUCUUUUGUGACUUAGUGGCGGACGGGUGAGUAACGCGUGGGUAACCUGCCUCACACAGGGGGAUAACAGUUAGAAAUGACUGCUAAUACCGCAUAACCCGAUAGGAUCGCAUGAUCCAGACGGAAAAGAUUUAUCGGUGUGAGAUGGACCCGCGUCUGAUUAGCUAGUUGGUGAGGUAACGGCCCACCAAGGCGACGAUCAGUAGCCGGCCUGAGAGGGUGAACGGCCACAUUGGGACUGAGACACGGCCCAAACUCCUACGGGAGGCAGCAGUGGGGAAUAUUGCACAAUGGGGGAAACCCUGAUGCAGCGACGCCGCGUGAGUGAAGAAGUAUUUCGGUAUGUAAAGCUCUAUCAGCAGGGAAGAAAAUGACGGUACCUGACUAAGAAGCCCCGGCUAACUACGUGCCAGCAGCCGCGGUAAUACGUAGGGGGCAAGCGUUAUCCGGAUUUACUGGGUGUAAAGGGAGCGUAGACGGUCAAGCAAGUCAGAAGUGAAAGGCUGGGGCUCAACCCCGGGACUGCUUUUGAAACUGUCUGACUGGAGUGCUGGAGAGGUAAGCGGAAUUCCUAGUGUAGCGGUGAAAUGCGUAGAUAUUAGGAGGAACACCAGUGGCGAAGGCGGCUUACUGGACAGUAACUGACGUUGAGGCUCGAAAGCGUGGGGAGCAAACAGGAUUAGAUACCCUGGUAGUC
RNAcentral lists this ribosomal RNA (720 nucleotides) under uncultured bacterium. Its description in RNAcentral is "bacterial SSU rRNA". It matches the Rfam family "Bacterial small subunit ribosomal RNA", at positions 67 to 795 of the family's 1533-position model. The record is from RNAcentral.